GUGAGUAACACGUGAGUAACCUGCCCCUGACUUCGGGAUAAGCCCGGGAAACUGGGUCUAAUACCGGAUACGACUGCCGGACGCAUGUCUGGUGGUGGAAAGUUUUUUCGGUUGGGGAUGGGCUCGCGGCCUAUCAGUUUGUUGGUGAGGUAAUGGCUCACCAAGACGACGACGGGUAGCCGGCCUGAGAGGGCGACCGGCCACACUGGGACUGAGACACGGCCCAGACUCCUACGGGAGGCAGCAGUGGGGAAUAUUGCACAAUGGGGGAAACCCUGAUGCAGCGACGCAGCGUGCGGGAUGACGGCCUUCGGGUUGUAAACCGCUUUCAGCAGGGAAGAAGCGCAAGUGACGGUACCUGCAGAAGAAGUACCGGCUAACUACGUGCCAGCAGCCGCGGUAAUACGUAGGGUACGAGCGUUGUCCGGAAUUAUUGGGCGUAAAGAGCUCGUAGGUGGUUGGUCACGUCUGCUGUGGAAACGCAACGCUUAACGUUGCGCGUGCAGUGGGUACGGGCUGACUAGAGUGCAGUAGGGGAGUCUGGAAUUCCUGGUGUAGCGGUGAAAUGCGCAGAUAUCAGGAGGAACACCGGUGGCGAAGGCGGGACUCUGGGCUGUAACUGACACUGAGGAGCGAAAGCAUGGGGAGCGAACAGGAUUAGAUACCCUGGUAGUCCAUGCCGUAAACGUUGGGCACUAGGUGUGGGGGGCAUUCCACGUUCUCCGCGCCGUAGCUAACGCAUUAAGUGCCCCGCCUGGGGAGUACGGUCGCAAGGCUAAAAC
RNAcentral lists this ribosomal RNA (782 nucleotides) under Brevibacterium casei. RNAcentral's name for it is "bacterial SSU rRNA". It matches the Rfam family "Bacterial small subunit ribosomal RNA", at positions 106 to 900 of the family's 1533-position model. The record is from RNAcentral. Lineage: Bacteria; Bacillati; Actinomycetota; Actinomycetes; Micrococcales; Brevibacteriaceae.